CCAGACUCCUACGGGAGGCAGUAGUGAGGAAUAUUGGUCAAUGGGCGCAAGCCUGAACCAGCCAAGUCGCGUGAGGGAUGACGGUCCUAUGGAUUGUAAACCUCUUUUGUCGGGGAGCAAGGCCCGCCACGUGUGGCGGGAAGGAGAGUACCCGAAGAAAAAGCAUCGGCUAACUCCGUGCCAGCAGCCGCGGUAAUACGGAGGAUGCGAGCGUUAUCCGGAUUUAUUGGGUUUAAAGGGUGCGUAGGCGGGCAUUUAAGCCGGCGGUCAAAUGUCGGGGCUCAACCCCGGCCUGCCGUCGGAACUGGGUGCCUUGAGUGGGCGAGAAGUAUGCGGAAUGCGUGGUGUAGCGGUGAAAUGCAUAGAUAUCACGCAGAACCCCGAUUGCGAAGGCAGCAUACCGGCGCCCUACUGACGCUGAGGCACGAAAGUGCGGGUAUCGAACAGGAUUAGAUACCCCUGUAU
Molecule: ribosomal RNA, 465 nt
Filed under: uncultured bacterium
Lineage: Bacteria
Description: bacterial SSU rRNA
Rfam family: Bacterial small subunit ribosomal RNA
Source: RNAcentral